GACGAACGCUGGCGGCGUGCUUAACACAUGCAAGUCGAACGGAAAGGCCCUGCUUUUGUGGGGUGCUCGAGUGGCGAACGGGUGAGUAACACGUGAGUAACCUGCCCUUGACUUUGGGAUAACUUCAGGAAACUGGGGCUAAUACCGGAUAGGAGCUCCUGCUGCAUGGUGGGGGUUGGAAAGUUUCGGCGGUAGGGGAUGGACUCGCGGCUUAUCAGCUUGUUGGUGGGGUAGUGGCUUACCAAGGCUUUGACGGGUAGCCGGCCUGAGAGGGUGACCGGGCACAUUGGGACUGAGGUACGGCCCAGACUCCUACGGGAGGCAGCAGUGGGGAGUAUUGCACAAUGGGCGGAAGUCUGAUGCAGCAACGUCGCGUGCGGGAUGACGGCCUUCGGGUUGUAAACCGCUUUCGCCUGUGACGAAGCGUGAGUGACGGUAAUGGGUAAAGAAGCACCGGCUAACUACGUG
This 468-nucleotide ribosomal RNA is filed under the name uncultured bacterium. Its description in RNAcentral is "partial 16S ribosomal RNA". It matches the Rfam family "Bacterial small subunit ribosomal RNA", at positions 28 to 507 of the family's 1533-position model. The record is from RNAcentral.